GAAAACAAAAAUUGAAAAAAAAUGACAGUAAAAGACACUAGCACCUACUAAGUUAGCUAUCCCUCACUCGAUUAUUCAGCCCAGUGGUGGUUGAUUCACAAUGUCUAAAAAAUGAGGAAAAGAUGAAAAAAAAAUGCCUAUAUAUGAAUAGUAAAUGAAGAAUCACUAAUCGGAGUAAGUUGGGUAUACUCUAAAAAGUCGCCCUUCCCAAAAGUUAGUUUGUUCCCGUGUUAUGAAUAA
This 240-nucleotide long non-coding RNA is filed under the name Lathyrus oleraceus (garden pea). RNAcentral describes it as "Pisum sativum (pea) long non-coding RNA (PSAT_LNC035128)". The record is from RNAcentral. Lineage: Eukaryota; Viridiplantae; Streptophyta; Magnoliopsida; Fabales; Fabaceae.